ACAUGCAAGUCGAGCGGGGAAGUGUACCUUGCUACAUUACCUAGCGGCGGACGGGUGAGUAAUGCUUAGGAAUCUGCCUAUUAGUGGGGGACAACAUUCCGAAAGGAAUGCUAAUACCGCAUACGUCCUACGGGAGAAAGCAGGGGAUCUUCGGACCUUGCGCUAAUAGAUGAGCCUAAGUCGGAUUAGCUAGUUGGUGGGGUAAAGGCCUACCAAGGCGACGAUCUGUAGCGGGUCUGAGAGGAUGAUCCGCCACACUGGGACUGAGACACGGCCCAGACUCCUACGGGAGGCAGCAGUGGGGAAUAUUGGACAAUGGGCGGAAGCCUGAUCCAGCCAUGCCGCGUGUGUGAAGAAGGCCUUUUGGUUGUAAAGCACUUUAAGCGAGGAGGAGGCUACUCUAGUUAAUACCUAGAGAUAGUGGACGUUACUCGCAGAAUAAGCACCGGCUAACUCUGUGCCAGCAGCCGCGGUAAUACAGAGGGUGCGAGCGUUAAUCGGAUUUACUGGGCGUAAAGCGUGCGUAGGCGGCUGAUUAAGUCGGAUGUGAAAUCCCUGAGCUUAACUUAGGAAUUGCAUUCGAUACUGGUCAGCUAGAGUAUGGGAGAGGAUGGUAGAAUUCCAGGUGUAGCGGUGAAAUGCGUAGAGAUCUGGAGGAAUACCGAUGGCGAAGGCAGCCAUCUGGCCUAAUACUGACGCUGAGGUACGAAAGCAUGGGGAGCAAACAGGAUUAGAUACCCUGGUAGUCCAUGCCGUAAACGAUGUCUACUAGCCGUUGGGGCCUUUGAGGCUUUAGUGGCGCAGCUAACGCGAUAAGUAGACCGCCUGGGGAGUACGGUCGCAAGACUAAAACUCAAAUGAAUUGACGGGGGCCCGCACAAGCGGUGGAGCAUGUGGUUUAAUUCGAUGCACGCGAAGAACCUUACCUGGUCUUGACAUAGUAAGACUUUCCAGAGAUGGAUUGGUGCCUUCGGGAACUACAUACAGGUGCUGCAUGGCU
Molecule: ribosomal RNA, 1000 nt
Filed under: Acinetobacter sp.
Lineage: Bacteria; Pseudomonadati; Pseudomonadota; Gammaproteobacteria; Moraxellales; Moraxellaceae
Description: bacterial SSU rRNA
Rfam family: Bacterial small subunit ribosomal RNA
Source: RNAcentral